AACGAACGCUGGCGGCAUGCCUAACACAUGCAAGUCGAACGAGAACUUCGGGCUUUGUGGCGCAGGGGUGCGUAACGCGUGGGAACUUGCCCUUAGGUAAGGAAUAACUCACUGUAAGGGGUGUUAAUACAGGUUAAUGUAAUCGGACAAAAGAUGUAUUGCCUUGGGAUGGGCCCGGGUUAGAUUGGCUAGUUGGUAGGGUAAAAGCCUACCAAGGCGACGUUGCAUGGCUGGUCGGGGAGGAGGACCAGGCCCGCUUGAACUGCGGCACGGACCAGACUGCGACGGAGGGCAGCAGUAGAGAAUAUUGUACGAGGAACGAUAGCCUAAUCCAGCAAUGCGGCGUAUGUGAGGCAGGCCUUAGUGUUGUAAAUCUCUUUGACCCGAAAUGAGAGUGACGGUACCGGGAAAAUAAGCUCCGGCUAACUCCGUG
RNAcentral lists this ribosomal RNA (433 nucleotides) under uncultured bacterium. RNAcentral's name for it is "partial 16S ribosomal RNA". It matches the Rfam family "Bacterial small subunit ribosomal RNA", at positions 29 to 507 of the family's 1533-position model. The record is from RNAcentral.